GGGGAAGGGUGAGAACCUUCGAUUAAGGUUCGACUCGAGCGAAAGCGAGAGAACGUUGCCAACGGCAACGGCCCGUAGGGUGAGGAGCGAAGCGACGAAUAAUCCUUCCACCACCAUCA
RNAcentral lists this small RNA (119 nucleotides) under Salmonella enterica. Its description in RNAcentral is "RtT sRNA". It matches the Rfam family "RtT RNA". From Rfam's summary of the family: This family represents a bacterial cis-regulatory element known as RtT RNA. The exact function of RtT is unknown although it is thought that it may be involved in changing the cellular response in relation to amino acid starvation. The record is from RNAcentral. Lineage: Bacteria; Pseudomonadati; Pseudomonadota; Gammaproteobacteria; Enterobacterales; Enterobacteriaceae.